GCAUCGGUAGUGCAGCGGUUCGAGCACGUGCUCCCGGAUAGGGUGAAAUUUGGGUUCCAUUCCCACCUGUCGCA
This is a non-coding RNA of Parelaphostrongylus tenuis, 74 nucleotides long. Lineage: Eukaryota; Metazoa; Nematoda; Chromadorea; Rhabditida; Metastrongylidae. The record is from the annotation of a GenBank genome assembly.